This 913-nucleotide ribosomal RNA is filed under the name uncultured Bacteroidota bacterium. RNAcentral describes it as "bacterial SSU rRNA". It matches the Rfam family "Bacterial small subunit ribosomal RNA", at positions 1 to 906 of the family's 1533-position model. The record is from RNAcentral. Lineage: Bacteria; Pseudomonadati; Bacteroidota.
UGGAUCCAGACUUUGAUCCUGGCUCAGGAUGAACGCUAGCUACAGGCUUAACACAUGCAAGUCGAGGGGCAGCGGGAUUGAAGCUUGCUUCAAUUGCCGGCGACCGGCGCACGGGUGAGUAACGCGUAUCCAACCUUCCGUACACUCAGGGAUAGCCUUUCGAAAGAAAGAUUAAUACCUGAUGGUAUGAUGAGAUUGCAUGAUAGCAUCAUUAAAGAUUUAUCGGUGUACGAUGGGGAUGCGUUCCAUUAGGUAGUAGGCGGGGUAACGGCCCACCUAGCCAACGAUGGAUAGGGGUUCUGAGAGGAAGGUCCCCCACAUUGGAACUGAGACACGGUCCAAACUCCUACGGGAGGCAGCAGUGAGGAAUAUUGGUCAAUGGACGAGAGUCUGAACCAGCCAAGUAGUGUGAAGGAUGAAGGCCCUACGGAUUGUAAACUUCUUUUAUAAGGGAAUAAACCCUCCCACGUGUGGGAGCUUGUAUGUACCUUAUGAAUAAGCAUCGGCUAACUCCGUGCCAGCAGCCGCGGUAAUACGGAGGAUGCGAGCGUUAUCCGGAUUUAUUGGGUUUAAAGGGAGCGCAGACGGGUCGUUAAGUCAGCUGUGAAAGUUUGGGGCUCAACCUUAAAAUUGCAGUUGAUACUGGCGUCCUUGAGUGCGGUUGAGGUGUGCGGAAUUCGUGGUGUAGCGGUGAAAUGCUUAGAUAUCACGAAGAACUCCGAUUGCGAAGGCAGCACACUAAUCCGUAACUGACGUUCAUGCUCGAAAGUGUGGGUAUCAAACAGGAUUAGAUACCCUGGUAGUCCACACGGUAAACGAUGGAUACUCGCUGUUGGCGAUAUACUGUCAGCGGCUUAGCGAAAGCGUUAAGUAUCCCACCUGGGGAGUACGCCGGCAACGGUGCAACUCAAAU